AUUGAACGCUGGCGGAAUGCUUUACACAUGCAAGUCGAACGGCAGCACGGACUUCGGUCUGGUGGCGAGUGGCGAACGGGUGAGUAAUGUAUCGGAACGUGCCCAGUCGUGGGGGAUAACGUAGUGAAAAUUACGCUAAUACCGCAUACGAUCUAUGGAUGAAAUAGGGGGAUCGCAAGACCUCGCGCGACUGGAGCGGCCGAUAUCAGAUUAGGUAGUUGGUGGGGUAAAGGCCCACCAAGCCAACGAUCUGUAGCUGGUCGGAGAGGACGACCAGCCACACUGGAACUGAGACACGGUCCAGACUCCUACGGGAGGCAGCAGUGGGGAAUUUUGGACAAUGGGCGAAAGCCUGAUCCAGCCAUUCCGCGUGCAGGAUGAAGGCCCUCGGGUUGUAAACUGCUUUUGUACAGAACGAAAAGGUUUCUACUAAUACUAGGAGCUCAUGACGGUACUGUAAGAAUAAGCACCGGCUAACUACGUGCCAGCCGCCGCCGUAA
This 500-nucleotide ribosomal RNA is filed under the name uncultured bacterium. RNAcentral describes it as "partial 16S ribosomal RNA". It matches the Rfam family "Bacterial small subunit ribosomal RNA", at positions 30 to 523 of the family's 1533-position model. The record is from RNAcentral.